CCUAACCCAAAGUUUCAAGACAUGGCAGUUGGAUAUGUCGAAUUAUGUUGUGCAUGUGAUAGUCUACUUUUUCUUUGUUAUAGUGCUGAUUGAGGGAGACCUUUGACCGAAUUGGUAGGCGGUGUGCUACAGGAAACAGCGAUCGCUAAUGAAUACAGCCAAAAACAUGCUUGAAUGGCAUCGGACCAGCGUGAAACUUAUUGAAAGUACAGAUCAGUAGGCGGUGUCUCCAACAAGAAACAGAGUGAGCGCUAAUGAAUACAACCAAAACGUGCUUGAAUGGCAUUGAACCAACGCUAAACUUAGCCAAAGUAUAGUUCAGAAUCGUUCAUCGUCAAAACUGGCAUAGCUGUAAGAUGGUCGCCGAUUGCUUCAGGAAAAGUGUCUACUGGUGUUAAAUGAGCAAGUAUGGGCGGGCAUCAAUCACUUCCUUCCAGCUAGUCGUCUGGUCAUUCAGAAAGGCAUCACUGUAACUCUCGCUGCGUUUCGACCAUGGAUGUACAUUGCAUGUAAGCUUGCUUACUUGUGCUGCAAUGUCACAUUAAAUUUAAA
Long non-coding RNA from Corticium candelabrum, 552 nucleotides. RefSeq lists it as uncharacterized. The record is from RefSeq and is a predicted model, not a curated record. The transcript is spliced from 3 exons. NCBI's taxonomy places the organism in Eukaryota, Metazoa, Porifera, Homoscleromorpha, Homosclerophorida, Plakinidae.